AGUGAACGCUGGCGGUAGGCCUAACACAUGCAAGUCGAACGGCAGCACAGUAAGAGCUUGCUCUUACGGGUGGCGAGUGGCGGACGGGUGAGGAAUACAUCGGAAUCUACUUUUUCGUGGGUGAUAACGUAGGGAAACUUACGCUAAUACCGCAUACGACCUACGUGUGAAAGCAGGGGAUCUUCGGACCUUGCGCGAUUGAAUGAGCCGAUGUCGGAUUAGCUAGUUGGCGGGGUAAAGGCCCACCAAGGCGACGAUCCGUAGCUGGUCUGAGAGGAUGAUCAGCCACCCUGGAACUGAGACACGGUCCAGACUCCUACGGGAGGCAGCAGUGGGGAAUAUUGGACAAUGGGCGCAAGCCUGAUCCAGCCAUACCGCGUGGGUGAAGAAGGACUUCGGGUUGUAAAGCCCUUUUGUUGGGAAAGAAAAGCAGCAGGUUAAUACCCCGCUGUUAUGACGGUACCCAAAGAAUAAGCACCGGCUAACUUCGUG
RNAcentral lists this ribosomal RNA (492 nucleotides) under uncultured bacterium. RNAcentral's name for it is "partial 16S ribosomal RNA". It matches the Rfam family "Bacterial small subunit ribosomal RNA", at positions 29 to 507 of the family's 1533-position model. The record is from RNAcentral.